Molecule: long non-coding RNA, 1022 nt
Organism: Suricata suricatta (meerkat)
Lineage: Eukaryota; Metazoa; Chordata; Mammalia; Carnivora; Herpestidae
Exons: 5
Source: RefSeq, a predicted model, not a curated record
AGUUCUUCUCCGACCCACAGCAAAAUGGCUGCUCUGUCGCCAUCUUAAGAGGUGAUCAUAAGAACUCAGAGUGAGGUUGGACACAGAGUCAGACAAGGACAGAGGAAAAGGAUGCUUUUUGAACUGAUACAUAGUGCUAAAUGACUAAAAAGAAAUGUGCCAAUAACCUCCCCGCAAAAGUAUGGAACCAUAAUUCUCCCUCCAGGGUUGUUAACAUUAAUACAAGGAUUCCAGAGAUCACGCAAUUUCAAAAAUGUGGAGCAACGCUCAUGGAGCAUUACAUGAAACUGGUGAUAGUUCGCUGAAGAAUAAUAUUAUAGAAAAACAAUUUUUUCAAUGUUUUUGGUUUGCUGACACGACACUCAAGACAGAAAUGGCUACGUCUUGGGCCUUGAAAUUCAUUUCAACAUGAUAAUGAUGAUGACGACAAAAAAGGAGGAGGAGGAGGAGGGGAUUUUGAUUAACACCAGUGCCGCCAGCACCACUACCAUCACUACAACUACUGCUAUUACAACUUCUGCCACUCCUACUACAAGAUUAAAUAGAUGGCUUGAAUUCUUGGUUGCUUUAUAAAAUGUUUACAUUUUAAACUUUAACAUUUUUAAAUAUUAAAUGGAUUUUCAUAAGCCAAGUGAGGUGCUCAUACUAUGAGAGAUACAUAGAUGUCUCUGGAAACUAAAUGUGACUGGAAACUAUGAAUUAAAAUACCUCACUUCUCCUCUAUUUUAUUUUAGGCCCUAAUCUGAGAGCUAACAGUAGGUAACAUUGCAUUAUUAAUUUUAUGUUUUGCCCUUAUUUUUGUAAGUUUACAAUUGUUGUUUUUACACAUAAACUUGAUUUAAGUCUAUAAAUUGUGUAAAUAGGGAACUCUAUAAUUCUGAUAAACAUAAUAAUUAGUGUCAAUAUAGCAUGUGAAGCAGGACCAUUUACUGACUGUGUGUGUAUAUGUGUGUGCAUGUGUAAGAUAAUCUGAUUUAAAAGUUUAUGCUAAUUUUAUGACUAAAGAGCCAAAGUGAUACCAA